AAAGAAUUAGUUUAAUUAAUUAUAAUAAAACAUUAAAUUGUCAAUUUAAAAAUAUUUUUAAAAAUAAUAAAUAUUCUUUU
RNAcentral lists this transfer RNA (80 nucleotides) under Acropyga sauteri. RNAcentral's name for it is "tRNA-Asp". The record is from RNAcentral. Lineage: Eukaryota; Metazoa; Arthropoda; Insecta; Hymenoptera; Formicidae.